GCCGCGUGCAGGAAGACUGCCCUAUGGGUUGUAAACUGCUUUUAUACAGGAAGAAACCGCUCUACGUGUAGAGCUCUGACGGUACUGUAAGAAUAAGGAUCGGCUAACUCCGUGCCAGCAGCCGCGGUAAUACGGAGGAUCCAAGCGUUAUCCGGAAUCAUUGGGUUUAAAGGGUCCGUAGGUGGAUAAUUAAGUCAGAGGUGAAAGUUUGCAGCUCAACUGUAAAAUUGCCUUUGAUACUGGUUAUCUUGAGUUAUUAUGAAGUAGUUAGAAUAUGUAGUGUAGCGGUGAAAUGCAUAGAUAUUACAUAGAAUACCAAUUGCGAAGGCAGAUUACUAAUAAUUAACUGACACUGAUGGACGAAAGCGUGGGGAGCGAACAGGAUUAGAUACCCUGGUAGUCCACGCCGUAAACGAUGGUUACUAGCUGUUCGGACUUCGGUCUGAGUGGCUAA
Molecule: ribosomal RNA, 454 nt
Filed under: Arctic sea ice bacterium AWS-4M8
Lineage: Bacteria; Pseudomonadati; Bacteroidota
Description: bacterial SSU rRNA
Rfam family: Bacterial small subunit ribosomal RNA
Source: RNAcentral